UAAGGAAUUGGGAUUUGAUUCGAUGCACUCUGGAAGCCGCUGAAGGUCCGUAGGUUACAGAAUAUAAUGAUCGGGACGGAAUUGGAGAAGGAAAGGACAUCAUGCAGAGAUCCUGGACUUGGACCUGGACGUAGUAACUGAUGAGACUUUUGUUGACUCUUUAUGGGGAAGGGAAUAAAUCAGGUUUGGUUGCUUGCAAUCAAGGGAUCCUAACCAAUACCCCAUUAUAUAUUGCUGAAUGAAAAAGGCAAGUCAUAAAACAGUAUGGAGGAGAGUAGAUCAAAAUGGAGGACUGAGCACACACUCUAGCAUCCUGCUCCUAUUCUAAAUAUUUGGAAAUGACAGAAGUGAUAUAUUUUUAAAAGAAAUAAAUAUAGUGCUUGAAAACUACAAGAGAUACUCCCAGUAGACCUAGAAUUAUGAGGACUCUGUAAAAGAAGGAAGGCAAAUGUGAUUGGAAAGACAAAGGAAACCAAACCCUUGAAUCACACAAGCAGGAAAAAAAUGCUACAAAAGCUGGAGGCAUCUUGGAGGAGAGGAUGUUUCAAGCUUAGAGAUAACAGAAACUUGUAGCAAAAGAGAACCAAGGGUGAUUGCUUGAAGGAUGAAACAAGGGUAAGUGUGUGAGGAGAAGCCCUUGGGCUACACAGGCAAGGCCCCUUGGAAAGCAAGGAAUUCUCCUACCCCCAGAAGACUACCUACCAGUGCACCCUGUCCAGCAGCAUGUCGACGGCAUCCUGACCUCAACACUGAGUGCAACACUG
Molecule: long non-coding RNA, 764 nt
Organism: Diceros bicornis minor
Lineage: Eukaryota; Metazoa; Chordata; Mammalia; Perissodactyla; Rhinocerotidae
Exons: 3
Source: RefSeq, a predicted model, not a curated record